GGCUUGGUGGUGGAUGGUACACACCUAUCUUCUGCACCCAGUUGCCAAUUGACUUGAGCAGGAGAAGCCUGUUCGAAUCAGGUCCGAGCCU
This is a non-coding RNA of Mycena alexandri, 91 nucleotides long. The record is from the annotation of a GenBank genome assembly. NCBI's taxonomy places the organism in Eukaryota, Fungi, Basidiomycota, Agaricomycetes, Agaricales, Mycenaceae.